AUUGAACGCUGGCGGCAGGCCUAACACAUGCAAGUCGAGCGGAUGAAGGGAGCUUGCUCCUGGAUUCAGCGGCGGACGGGUGAGUAAUGCCUAGGAAUCUGCCUGGUAGUGGGGGAUAACGUCCGGAAACGGGCGCUAAUACCGCAUACGUCCUGAGGGAGAAAGUGGGGGAUCUUCGGACCUCACGCUAUCAGAUGAGCCUAGGUCGGAUUAGCUAGUUGGUGGGGUAAAGGCCUACCAAGGCGACGAUCCGUAACUGGUCUGAGAGGAUGAUCAGUCAACAUGGAAAUAGGACACGGUCCAGACCCCCAGGGGGGGAAGCAGUGGGGAAUUUUGGACAAGGGGGGAAAGCCUGAUCCAGCCAUGCCGGGGGUGUGAAGAAGGUCUUCGGAUUGUAAAGCACUUUAAGUUGGGAGGAAGGGCAGUAAGUUAAAACCUGGCUGUUUUGACGUUACCAACAGAAUAAGCACCGGCUAACUUCGU
This 483-nucleotide ribosomal RNA is filed under the name uncultured bacterium. RNAcentral describes it as "partial 16S ribosomal RNA". It matches the Rfam family "Bacterial small subunit ribosomal RNA", at positions 30 to 506 of the family's 1533-position model. The record is from RNAcentral.